Molecule: long non-coding RNA, 937 nt
Filed under: Callithrix jacchus (white-tufted-ear marmoset)
Lineage: Eukaryota; Metazoa; Chordata; Mammalia; Primates; Cebidae
Description: lncRNA (ENSCJAG00000075309.1)
Source: RNAcentral
GAGAGCGCCAGUGCGUAGCCACGAUUCUGGGAGAGGAGGUGCUCGGAGGAAAGGGCGGGGGUUGCUGAUGUAAUGGGGAGAAGUGAUUAAUCCUUCAGUUCGCUGUUUCAGCCUCCCCCCACCCCAACCUUCACCCGAUUUUUUUGAGCUGAAAAAAAAGUGAAACGAGGGAGCCAAUCUGGUAACUCGGGUUUUCUGUGGUAGGUGGGUUCAAAAUCUGAGCUGUAGGGAGCGCUAGAGAUUUCGUGCCCUUUAGCCAAGCAGAGGGUAUUUGCAAACCCUGGAGAUUUCCUUCUCAGAGCUUUGGGCUUGGUAACUGAAGUUUGGAAUCGGUUCCUAAUCCUAGAUCAUCUAAACCUGUUUGACCUUUGGCCAAUUGGACUUGUUCUUUGAAGAAGUGUAUACAAUGUUCGGGAAAAUAAUUAUGUGAGAGGAGAGAAGGCCUUCUGAAGUACAAGGCUCAGGGCAGGCACCCUACUUGCCCAAGUCUAAGAGUGGCAUUGCAGACCAAUAAUAAAUUCUCCCAUCUGGUGUCAGCCUUUACCUUUCAAUGCUGGGUCAAGGCAGAGGAUAGAAGAAUGCUUCCAGGGAAGGCAGAAGGAAAAAGAAGACACGUUCUCUGCCAGCAUAAGUGAGAAUCAGGGCCGUGCUUACUCCUCACAGAAACUAGGAACUUCUAAACAAUUAUUAAGGACUUAGUUUUGAUUUUCCUCCUUUGAAUGAGUAAGUAGUUUAAGACUUUUAGUAUUUUUUUUCUUUCUUUCUUUCUUUUUUUUAGAGAUGGGGUUUCUCCAUGUUGGCCAGGCUGGUUUCAAACUCCUGAUCUCAGGUGAUCCGCCCACCUCGGUGCCCGGCUGACUUUUAGUAUUUUUAGAAAGAGUUAAUUGGUUUUUUAAAAAGUUAUCACUGGUUGGGCAUGGUGACUCAUGCUUGUAAU